UAGGGAAGCUUCCACAAUGGACGCAAGUCUGAUGGAGCAACGCCGCGUGAGUGAAGAAGGGUUUCGGCUCGUAAAGCUCUGUUGUUAAAGAAGAACGUGGGUAAGAGUAACUGUUUACCCAGUGACGGUAUUUAACCAGAAAGCCACGGCUAACUACGUGCCAG
RNAcentral lists this ribosomal RNA (164 nucleotides) under uncultured bacterium. RNAcentral describes it as "partial 16S rRNA". It matches the Rfam family "Bacterial small subunit ribosomal RNA", at positions 355 to 511 of the family's 1533-position model. The record is from RNAcentral.